This 638-nucleotide ribosomal RNA is filed under the name Lacticaseibacillus casei. Its description in RNAcentral is "bacterial SSU rRNA". It matches the Rfam family "Bacterial small subunit ribosomal RNA", at positions 34 to 635 of the family's 1533-position model. The record is from RNAcentral. Lineage: Bacteria; Bacillati; Bacillota; Bacilli; Lactobacillales; Lactobacillaceae.
CGCUGGCGGCGUGCCUAAUACAUGCAAGUCGAACGAGUUCUGGUUGUUGAUCGGUGCUUGCAUCUUGAUUUAAUUUUGAACGAGUGGCGGACGGGUGAGUAACACGUGGGUAACCUGCCCUUAAGUGGGGGAUAACAUUUGGAAACAGAUGCUAAUACCGCAUAGAUCCAAGAACCGCAUGGUUCUUGGCUGAAAGAUGGCGUAAGCUAUCGCUUUUGGAUGGACCCGCGGCGUAUUAGCUAGUUGGUGAGGUAAUGGCUCACCAAGGCGAUGAUACGUAGCCGAACUGAGAGGUUGAUCGGCCACAUUGGGACUGAGACACGGCCCAAACUCCUACGGGAGGCAGCAGUAGGGAAUCUUCCACAAUGGACGCAAGUCUGAUGGAGCAACGCCGCGUGAGUGAAGAAGGCUUUCGGGUCGUAAAACUCUGUUGUUGGAGAAGAAUGGUCGGCAGAGUAACUGUUGUCGGCGUGACGGUAUCCAACCAGAAAGCCACGGCUAACUACGUGCCAGCAGCCGCGGUAAUACGUAGGUGGCAAGCGUUAUCCGGAUUUAUUGGGCGUAAAGCGAGCGCAGGCGGUUUUUUAAGUCUGAUGUGAAUAGCCCUCGGCUUAACCGAGGAAGUGCAUCGGAAACUG